RNAcentral lists this long non-coding RNA (217 nucleotides) under Gossypium barbadense (sea-island cotton). Its description in RNAcentral is "long non-coding RNA (GBAR_LNC003760)". The record is from RNAcentral. Lineage: Eukaryota; Viridiplantae; Streptophyta; Magnoliopsida; Malvales; Malvaceae.
AAAUUUUAAAGGAUUAGCAUUUCUUAUUGUUUACCCUAUCCCUAACCCUAUCCACUCAAAUUUUAAAAAUUGAAGCCAAGUUAUUUGAAAAGAGCUAAAACACUAUCACAAUUUUGCUAUAUUCUUCACGUUUAUUGUAUUAAAUAAAACAUGCUUUCAAGAUAUUGGGAAUAAAAAAAAUUAAAUAUCAGUUAUUAAUAUCUAAUACCCAAAAUAA